This 1443-nucleotide long non-coding RNA is filed under the name Homo sapiens (human). Its description in RNAcentral is "HSALNT0294971". The record is from RNAcentral. Lineage: Eukaryota; Metazoa; Chordata; Mammalia; Primates; Hominidae.
CCCCUUUGCCUCCUAAAAAGCAGAGUGAAGCCAAUCUGAUUUUUAAUUCAUGGAUAUUCUUACAACUUCCACUUCUACAUCUUUUGCAUUCUUUGUGGAUGCACCAAACAGCAUGCAAGAAUGUCAGUUUCUCCUUCACAUUCUUAUCUUCAUGUUCUGAUUGUGACUCACUGAGGAUGGAGCCCUGAAUGACCUUGGUUAGGUUGCUUAUUAUCCCAUUUUCUUGAGAUGAUAGGUGUAGAUUUUUCAGUAAGGUAGUUGAAAGUAUAAAAUAAAAUAACAUUUACCUUGUAAAACAUUUUAAAGUGGAAUCUAUUCUCUUUAAUAAUAUCCUAUUUUAAUACAGCAUUUUGUAGUUUUUCAGAAUGCUUCACAUUCUCAUUUACUCUUGAAUACAAUAUACAAAGUUCCUCUAUUUAGCCAUCAAAAAUUUUUACUCGUUGAUUAAACUUUUAUUGUGCCUUCCCAUUUUUUUUAACCAGUUUUGCAAGAUGAUGAAUAUAAAGUAAAUAUCAGUGUUCUUUCAAGUUUUACUUCAGUGACUGUUAUCCUAUUUGUACUAAAAUUAGUUUAAUGUUUAAUUCAUUUUUGGGCCCUGGUCUGAUAGUACCAUGAUAAUUUCAGUUAUUACUAAACAUGAUGAUAAUGGAGGUGGUGGUGAUAAUAGCAAACAUUCAUUGGAUGCUUACUAUGUGCCAAGCAUGGUUUUAAGUAUUUGACAUUCAUUAACUCAUUUAAUCCUCAUAACUCAAUAAGGUAGGUGCUAUUAGCCCUAUUUUAUAGAUGACGAUGUUGGGAGGUUAAAUAACUAACCUAAGGUUACAUAGCUAGCAAGUGUCAGAACCAAAAUGUAAACCCAGCUAGCCUGAUUCCAAACCCUGUGCACUAACUACAAUGAUGAUAAAUUCUGAAGCAAAGUACACAUGUUAAUUUGCUGAUAACUGCCUUGUAACUUUUAAAUCUGUUCUAUGAAAGUCACUUAUAUAUCUUGCCAUGGUGACAUGUAGAGUAGAAAUUAUAAAUCAUCCUUUGUUGUUGCUAUUCUUACAGUCUUGUUUCGCUCAAUGAAUUAUGAGGAAGAAGCAAAGCUGUCUUGUAAAUUUAUCUCCAUGUCUCUAUUUGGCUACUACCACUAGGAUUACCUUGUAUAAAAUAAGGGCUUUUAACACAUGAGUCCCAAGGUGCAUGUAGGAAGUUCUGUUUAUACACAGUCUAUAGCUAAAAGGGCAACCUGCACAGAGCCCUGCAGGUAGAGGAGAGGUGGUGAGAGCUAAAGUUGAUGGCUGACCAAGGGACCACUAUCUAGGGUCUAGUUGGGAUUUAUGGCUAGAGUGCUUUCUUCAAGAAGUGGCAGAAGUACAGUCAGAAGGUGGGAAGUAAGAAAAUAGUGUUGUGGGCCAUUUCUGCAAGGGACAAGGAAGAAUUUGAUUCUGAAAGAUUGUC